UAUGCUCGAAGACGUCCGAAAGUCGGAAUGGUAUUGCAAAGUGAAUAAGGGAUGAAUCGAGUAAGCGAAGCGAUGUGGCGAAUAGAGUAUAGCUAGAGAUGGUCUAGAGAUUACGAGAUGCAUAGAUUGUGAAAGUUGAAAGAUGAGAUAGAGAUGUGAGACUGGAGUCAGAUUUAAGGCAAGUAUCCGGAACCCUUCUCUUGGAUAUAUUGCAAAUAUUCUGAUCCAUUCCUUUGGUAUAUGUUUCAAAUAUUCAUACAUUUCUGUGCUAUAUUUAAAGGAGCGAGUAUUCUGAUCCAUUCUUUCCAAUCCUCAAGUUUCUAAAGAAUUUCAGCUUUAUAAAUCAAUUUGAAGUUCAGAUUGUCAUUGAAGCAUGUGUUGCUCAGUGAUAGUUAGAGCUUUGAAUGAAUUGGGAUCUUCUUGAUUAUUCAACCCGCCAUUGUCAUGCUGGUUUAGCAGGCUAAAUUCAGUUGCUUAGCCGAUAAUGGAGGAUACUGAAUAGUUGAGGAUUUCCUGAACUGUGAUUUAUGAAAUGAUGGAUCAUGAUUUAUGAAUAGAUUAUUAUCAAAGUUUGAUUUGAAAUUAUUCUGUUGUUGAUGAUAUUUAUGGUGAUGUUCUGUUGAUUUACACUGACCUGUUAAACUGAAUUAUAGAAUUGGAUUAUUGUUUUUAUAAAAUUAUGUGGACCAAAUGAGUGGUCAGACCAGAUGAGUGGUCAUGUCAGGCCAAUGAGUGCCUUGGAUCCAGUGACAGAGCAUGGCGGGGCCUGCUCGGGGUUAGGUAUGACUGAUCAGCAUCCUAACCUUUGUUUUAAUUAAAAUGUGAUAGUCCAAUUCGAUAAUUCUCUUGGAAAGAUUGAAUUACUCCAAUAUUCCAUUGAUGCAAGGUAUUGUGAAUCAUUCUAUACAAUACCUUAAUCUUAUGAAUUUAUGUUGAAGCUUUUACUAAAGUAUCUUGAGCCUUUGAACUUCUAUCAUAUUGAUUCAGAAUUGUUAUUGUUUAUUAUUACUUGCUGAGCAUUGUUGCUCACUCUUGCUAUUCUCUUUUAACCAUUUCAGAAAGGAUUAAAGAUGAAUGGCUAGACUAUGAUUGCGAGUAAGGCUAAGGCUAGGCGAGGAGUCAGAGGUGUUAAGGAUCCAGU
This 1141-nucleotide long non-coding RNA is filed under the name Daucus carota (carrot). RNAcentral's name for it is "long non-coding RNA (DCAR_LNC007262)". The record is from RNAcentral. Lineage: Eukaryota; Viridiplantae; Streptophyta; Magnoliopsida; Apiales; Apiaceae.